UACGUAGGUGGCAAGCGUUGUCCGGAUUUAUUGGGUUUAAAGGGUGCGUAGGCGGCUUUGUAAGUCAGUGGUGAAAUAUGGCAGCUCAACUGUCAGGGUGCCAUUGAUACUGCAGAGCUUGAGUACAGAUGAGGUAGGCGGAAUUGACGGUGUAGCGGUGAAAUGCUUAGAUAUCGUCAAGAACACCGAUAGCGAAGGCAGCCUACUGGGCUGUAACUGACGCUGAGGCACGAAAGUGUGGGGAUCAAACAGG
RNAcentral lists this ribosomal RNA (253 nucleotides) under uncultured bacterium. RNAcentral describes it as "partial 16S ribosomal RNA". It matches the Rfam family "Bacterial small subunit ribosomal RNA", at positions 524 to 776 of the family's 1533-position model. The record is from RNAcentral.